CUCCGAUAAGAGUAAUGCCGGAUCAAUCCGGCAGCACAAAGCCGCGGGCCUCCACGUGAGGACAGCCGGGCUGCCGAA
RNAcentral lists this non-coding RNA (78 nucleotides) under Desulfuromonas soudanensis. RNAcentral describes it as "c-di-GMP sequence". It matches the Rfam family "c-di-GMP-I riboswitch aptamer". Rfam says of the family: GEMM was predicted in a large-scale screen for bacterial structured RNA regulatory elements. Genes associated with GEMM are involved in a diverse array of functions, including chemotaxis regulation, signal transduction, secretion and chitin. The record is from Rfam by way of RNAcentral. Lineage: Bacteria; Pseudomonadati; Thermodesulfobacteriota; Desulfuromonadia; Desulfuromonadales; Desulfuromonadaceae.